GCCGGGGCGUCCCCCGCGGGAGCCCGCAGCCACCCGGGACGCGCAUCCAGACGUGGCGCUUCGGACCGGGCACGCUGCGCCCGGGGGCUCGGCGGACCCCGCGUAGCCGCCGCUUCGGAGCUUGUGCGGCGCGGGCUGGCCAGCGGGGCGGCCAGGGCCCGGCCCGCCUCCCCAGCGCCCGCCCGGCUUCUCCCCCUGGCGGUGGGAGCCUCGGCGGCCGCUGGCGACACUAGGCGCACUGAAGCCCGAGCCGAGCCGAGCCCGAGCCGCCGCCGCCGCCGCCGCUGCUGCGCACCGCUCCCGGGCUCCCUCCCAGCGCGCCGGCCGGGGUGUGGGGGGCGGCGGGCCGGAGGGGCGAGGGCGGGCCAGGGGGCGCACACGGGGGUUGGCGCGGAAGACAGGACCCUCAGCCUCGAGGGAGCCCCUAGGUGACCAGGCAAAAUGGCAGUUCCUUCCAGCUGGUCCUCAGAUGGGCACAUCUAUUAGCCUCUGCUCUUGUAAGAAGUUAGCUGCAGAACCCACAUGUGAAUCCUUGUAGGACUCUGGAGAAGAUCAAAUGGGAGCUUAGAUGUGGAAGCUCUUUGGAAACCAAGAAACACUCUGAAAAUGAAAAGGGAUCUCAACUUUUCUCUUCCCGCUCCAGCUGCACUAUGUAUCCGUGCUUGGCUCUCAGUUGUUGGAUUCUCAUGUCUCCUUUUUCACAGUGGCUCAGGUGGAAGAGUAAACUGUUCCUGUUUCUCCAUCUUGACAGGAAGCAGAAGUUCUCCUUAGCUGAUUUUUCUUCUUGCCUUAUACUGGGUUCUUUAACACCAGAACAAAAAUAAAUAAAUAAAAGAAUCUUCCAGAAAUUCAUGAAGAGACUUCAGGUCAGGAAAGCCUGAACUUUCUCAUCCAACACCCGUUCAAGUCGGAGGAUGCUGAUUAAUUCAUGAUGGAAAGGUAUCAAUUUCACAGCCCAGACCUCUACAUUCUUGAAAUGCUCUUCUCAUGGGAGACAUUAAAUAAGCUUUGAAUUAACUUAAGCCCUUAAGUAAAAGUGCCAUCAAAUGAUUUCUCAGAAAUUAUAAAGAAACAAAAGGACCAUAAACAAGAUAAGGUGGCAUGAGGAAACAUUACAAGUACCUUUCAGAGCUGACUGGCAAAGAAACUCCUGAGGUGACGGUUCUACCCCAAUAUUACUUCUUCGAAGAGCAACCUAACUCUUAGGUGGCCUAGAGGGGCAAGACUGGUGUGGCAAAUUGGGAUCAGCAGUGU
This 1254-nucleotide long non-coding RNA is filed under the name Homo sapiens (human). Its description in RNAcentral is "PREDICTED lncRNA (TCONS_00182857)". The record is from RNAcentral. Lineage: Eukaryota; Metazoa; Chordata; Mammalia; Primates; Hominidae.